RNAcentral lists this long non-coding RNA (1067 nucleotides) under Monodelphis domestica (gray short-tailed opossum). Its description in RNAcentral is "lncRNA (ENSMODG00000046891.1)". The record is from RNAcentral. Lineage: Eukaryota; Metazoa; Chordata; Mammalia; Didelphimorphia; Didelphidae.
UCUUCUUUCUCCAUGGUAACAGAACCUUUCAUAGUUAACACCAUCACCUCUAGAGCUCAAGUGUUUCUCCAAAUAUGUUAUUGCUGGCUGAGUGUUUGUGAAGCCUCUUCUAUUGGUCUCCCACCAGCCUGGAGAGCCCAGGUCUUCUGACUUCCAAUCCUGUGCCCAUUCCACUACCCUGAAGACAAUCAAAACCCAGCCUAUUCCCCAAGACGAAUGGACCUUAAGAAUAGUGGGCUUCUCCUACAAUCUCUGACCAAAUGACGCAGCAGAAAUGAAAAAUCCCAACUCUUCAGGAUGCUCAGUGACGACCAGCGGAGAGACACUGGGAGGCUUCAGUAGCUCAGAAACAAUUGAGUUUAGCACCCAGUGAGCCAGCACAAUUGGUGCCAAUGGGAAGCUACCAGAUGACUAGUUUCUGCUCUUAAUUCAAGGGAGAGAGUUCUGGAUUCCAAGUCAGAAGACCUGGGUUCAAAACCUCUGCCACUAUGUGAUCUUGGGCAAAUCACUUAAUAGCUCUUUGCCUCAGUUUCCUUGACUGUAACAUAAAAGAGUUGAAAUUGAUUACCCCAAAAAUGCCUUCUAUUUCUAAAUCCAUGACUUUAUGAUUAUACCUUCCUCCUUGGUCUCCCAAGAAGCCUGUACAAGGCCUGGCAAUGGAAAGAUACUUCCUUGCUGUGUGACCCUGGGAAAGUCACUUAACCCUGAUUGCCUUGCCCUGACUGCUCUUCUGUCUUAGAAUUGAUACCACAAUAUGGGAGUUGUUGUUGUUGUUGUUUUAAGAUAAACAGAAUUUAAUGUAUGGGGAGAAAUAAUGAGAUGCUCCAUAACCCAAAAUUCUAGGCUUGGAAAUUCUUGAACCCCUAAAAAUUACAUUACCCAAAAUUCCUUUCUGUAUUAUCUAGAAUCCUUUUUCUUCCCCCUUCCCCAUCCUCACAUUUACAUGGUUGUAUUUAAGUUUGCUGUGCCUCCUCUUUCUUCUUCCUUGAGGUGAGUUAGGCAGGUUUUACUCUAGUUUUUUUUAAUUUAUUAAUAAAUCUUGUAAAUAUAAUACUUGAGUUAUUGUA